CCUACGUGAGGCAGCAGUGGGGAAUAUUGGGUAAUGGACGCAAGUCUGACCCAGCAACGCCGCGUGAAGGAAGAAGGCUUUCGGGUUGUACACUUCUUUUAAGGGGGAAGAGCAGAAGACGGUACCCCUUGAAUAAGCCACGGCUAACUACGUGCCAGCAGCCGCGGUAAUACGUAGGUGGCAAGCGUUGUCCGGAUUUACUGGGUGUAAAGGGCGUGCAGCCGGAGAGACAAGUCAGAUGUGAAAUCCGCAGGCUCAACCUGCGAACUGCAUUUGAAACUGUUUCCCUUGAGUAUCGGAGAGGUCAUCGGAAUUCCUAGUGUAGCGGUGAAAUGCGUAGAUAUUAGGAAGAACACCAGUGGCGAAGGCGGCCUGCUGGACGAUGACUGACGUUGAGGCUCGAAAGCGUGGGGAGCAAACAGGAUUAGAUACCCUAGUAGUC
Molecule: ribosomal RNA, 442 nt
Filed under: uncultured bacterium
Lineage: Bacteria
Description: partial 16S ribosomal RNA
Rfam family: Bacterial small subunit ribosomal RNA
Source: RNAcentral